RNAcentral lists this unclassified non-coding RNA (6276 nucleotides) under Polistes dominula (European paper wasp). RNAcentral describes it as "dENN domain-containing protein 4C, transcript variant X3". The record is from RNAcentral. Lineage: Eukaryota; Metazoa; Arthropoda; Insecta; Hymenoptera; Vespidae.
AAAGAUUAUAAAUGUUAAAAUGUUCCUAUAUAUUCGAUACUUUAAUUGAAACUUUCGAUUCUAGUUGAUUCUAGUGCGAUUUCUCGAAACUUUCCUUUUAAAGACAGAUACUUGAGAUUAAGAAUUAAUUUUAUUGGGUAAAAACUCUAUAAUCUUAUUCGUACAAAUCAAAUAGUUUCGACGUGAAACGUUUGACCGAUUUACUAUCUAAAUACAGAUGAUUUCAUUGAUAAUGCGAAAUAAAAUGAUGCCAAAUAAACUAUCUAAUGAUAUAUACGAAUGAAUGAAUUUAACAAUAACAAUUGAUGUGUAUUAACAAAGUUUCGAUAUAAUCAUUUUUCAACUGUAUAACAUUAAUCGGAAUUUUUUUGUCGCAGUAAGUUUGAAAUUAAUGCAAACGAACAAAAAAGACAAAAAAGAAAAUAAAAAAGGAACAAUAACCACACAGUAUAUGCAAUCUCAAAUGGCUUAAUUACGUAUCAAAGACGUCAAACGUGUUACAAAUACGUGUCAUCUUUUUAUCUCGAAGAAAUCUUGCCAGUGUAAUAAAAGAAAAAAAAAAAAAAUUCGCUCCGUCGUAGUAAUGUCAAUUUAGAUCAACAUACACAGCCAUUUUGCCGAUCAGAAUGUAUAGCCAUUCGAGAGACAAGGUUUUCUUUAUUUUUAAAACCCACUUCUCUACUUCAUGAUUCUCUGAAUUUUGUCAAGUGUAUAUUAUCGUCUAAAAGAAAAAGAAAAAAAAGAAAGGAAAAAUUUGAAGGUGUACUUCGAUGCGCGUAUAGAUUGUUUAAUAGCAACAGUGUUUAACCACGACGAAAUUCUCUCUCGAGACUGUUGCAUCUAACGUCUAACCUGACUUUUAUUUUAAAAGCACGUUUCGAAUCUAAGCCUUUUUUAAUUGUGAAUGUAAACACAAGGAGAGAUAUAGAUCGAUUUUUAAUUCGUAAUUUAUAUUUACGCUUUUCGAUAAUCUUAUCACGAUUAGUGGGAAAAGUUGUUGCAGCAGUGGUAAAUUUUCUACUUUUAUAGUUUUCGUAAGUUUAUUGAUUAAAACGUUAUGCGAUUUCAUCAAAGAACUUUUUUUACUUUUUUCUUUUAAAGAAUAAUAUGUGCUCUUUGUUUUAUUUAUGAUCGUGAUUAAAUUGUGAUUUAAGAAUAAAAAAUAAAGAUAAGUCAACAACUCAACACAAAAUAGAUAGUGCGUGUAUAUAUAUANAAUAGUGUUUUAUUAAUAAAAGGAAUAACAAGAAAAAAGAUUUAUUGAAACGUAGAUAUUAUAAAUAUAGUAUUUUAAAGUUUAGUGAUCAACUGCGAUUUUAAUAGUAAAAAAAAAAUAGUACUCCAAUCGUUUUAAUGACAAAUAUAUUGUAUGAGAUAAAAGUAACAAGAACAAUAAGAAGCAUCUAAUAAAAAUGAUUUUGUCGCUUGAAAAGACAUUGGAAUGACUAUGAUUAAAAGGAUAUAAGAUCAAUGAUUGAUCUUUAAAACUUGUAUAAAUAUAUAUAAAAGAUUAAUUAUUAAAGAAAGUUUGCAAUGGAUGAAAGGAGAGUAGCAGAUUAUUUUGUUGUCGCUGGUCUACCAGGGCAUAACGAUGACAUUAUAGGAGAGAACGAAGUUAAUGAUGAAUUAGAAGAUUGGUGUCAAGAAGGAACGCAUUUGAAAGAUAUACAUAUGCAACCACCUAUCACAGAUCUUGCUGUCAUUUUUCCAGCUUUAGGUGAACAGUGUCCUGAAGGUUAUACAUUGUUAGAAUAUACCGUGUCCGGUAUCCCAGCUGAUUUAAAUCAUGGCAGCUUACGAACAAAUGAAUGUUAUCUAUGCUAUAGGAGAGGUCGAGAUAAACCACCUUUAGUUGAUAUUGGUGUAAUAUAUGAAGGGAAAGAGCGUAUAAUGCAGGAUGCACAAAUAGUACUAGAAACUCCCAAAGGACACAUAGCGAAUGUUAACAAUUCAACUUCAAAAAUAUUUGUAACAUAUAGACGAGCAAGUCAAAAAAUGCCUUGUAAUUCUCUUGUUGUUACUGAUAUAUGUGUUAUUUUGAAAAACAAAGGGGAAACUCCUCCACAUGCGUUCUGUGUUAUUAAUAAGAAUUUAAAUAAGGGAAUGUUGGGCAGUGACGUAUUCUUAUGCUACAAGAAAUCCAUGAAUCGUGCUAAUCUUAUAUCGUUCAAACCAGCAAUACUUUAUAAGUAUCCGACAACUGAUUAUAACAGCUUCGUUUUUCCAAAUUCAGUUGCCAUGUUUUGCUUACCUAUGGGAGCAACUAUAGAAUGUUGGCCAAAAAUGGCUUGUAAACCUAAGUCAUUAUUUUCAACAUUUGUCUUAACUGUCUCGGAUGCUGCACAAAAAAUAUAUGGCUCGGCUAUAACGUUUUAUGAAGAGUUUACAUUGCCACCAGAUGCUUUAAGCUGUAAAGGAAAUUUGGAUAUGGAAGAUAUAGAGGAAAAUACAAAAAAUAAUGCUGAUAGUAUUGAAUUAACGGAGGAGUUUCAUCAAUCAAAAGCAAAAAUGUUCAGAAAAUACGGAAUACUUAAGAAGCUUAAUAUAUCCCAAUGGGCAAAAUUACAAUUUACAGAUCCUAGCAGUCAGUCAUUAAAUAUCAGCAAAUCAAUAUGUAUAUUAUCACAUUGGCCAUUUUUUGAUACAUUUGAAAAAUUUCUAGUCUUUCUGCAUAGCAUGGUCAAUGGAAAACCUCAAAAUGUUUCUAUAGAAAAGUAUAUUUCUUAUUUUUUGUGUGAUAUACCUUUUCCAAGUCCUCAAAGAUCAAGAAUUCUUGUGCAACUUAGCAGUAAAGAUAGACUAAUCUUGACUCAACCAGAAGAUUUAGUUUUGCCUAGAUCUGGUGCCAGUUUUAGGCAAUUAUUAAUCAAUUUGGGUCCUGAUAAUUGCUUAUUGAUAUUGCUCCUAAUCUUAACAGAGCAAAAAAUAUUGGUUCAUUCAUUACGGCCUGAUGUGCUAACUUCAGUGAGUGAAGCUAUUGCAAUGAUUUUGUUUCCAUUCAAAUGGCAAUGCCCGUAUAUACCACUCUGUCCAUUAGGUUUAGCCGAGGUCUUGCAUGCACCGCUACCAUUUUUAAUUGGCGUUGACUCAAGGUUUUUCGAUUUAUAUGAUCCACCAUCUGAUGUUAAUUGUGUCAAUCUUGAUACAAAUAAUAUAGCAAUUUGCGAUGACAAGAAAUAUUUGAAUGUAAAAUUACUCCCUAAGAAGGCAGCUAGACAGCUUAGAAAUUGUUUAGAACAUCUCUAUUCAAAAUUAACCUCUCUUGGAAAGAUAUAUUCUUCUCAAAAAGACCAAGAACAUGGUGAUUUUAGUGUAGAUAAAGAAUUCCAACAAAAACAAAAAGAACAAGCAUUGGAACUUGAAAUACAAGACGCUUUUUUAAAAUUCACUGCUACUAUUUUAAAAGGCUAUCGAUCUUUCUUAUUACCAAUUACGAAGGCUCCUACUGUAGGAUCAACAGAUCCAACAAGUUUAUUUAAUAUGCAAGAAUUUUUAAGAAGUCGUGACAAGGCUCAUGCAAAAUUUUAUAGUAUGCUUGUUAGAACUCAAAUGUUCAUAAGAUUCAUCGAAGAAAGAAGUUUUGUAUCUGAUAUGGAUAUGGCUGGCCUAGCUUUUUUUGAUGAAUGUACUGAACGUGUGGAGGAAGAGAAUGUUACACUCUUGGAAUUGGAUGAAUCUCAACAUAGCGAACGUACAGUAUUUAUACCUCCUCCUGAUGCAGGACCAAAUCAUGGACUUUUUAUAUAUAAAACGUUUAAAUUAAAUUCUGAAUUAAUGAGGCCUGAAAAAAACUUUAAUUUAAGAAAUCCAGCUUUAAAUGCUUUUGGAAUUGUACCUGGAAGUCCUAUGGCACGUAGGACUAAGCAUGAAAUAAAAGUAGCUCAGAAAAUGGCGCGGAAACAGGCAGCAAUGCCAGAUAGAUGGGCUAGAUGUUUACUUGGGACAUGCUACAGUCUUUGGUUUCUACAUUUACCAGCAAUGUUACAGGCUUCCAGUCAACCAGCUGCAAUUUUGCAUCAAGCAUAUGAAUUAUUAGUUCGCAUGCAAAAAUUACAUCUUGAUCCUAUGGAAGAGGUUUGUUACAGAGCUAUGAUGCAACUUUGUGGAGUAUAUGGACAACCAGUAUUAGCUGUUAAGUUAUUAUUUCACAUGAAACGUAGCGGUGUACAGCCAAAUGCCCUAACAUAUGGAUUUUAUAACAAAGCUGUCCUAGAAGCAACAUGGCCUUCUGAUAUGACAAAUUCAAGUCAGUUAAUGUGGAAUAAAUUACGAAAUGUUAUUGUUGGGGCAGCUUUGUUUAAAAAGGCUGGUAGGAAAGGUGCCAGAAGAAGACAUAAUUCCAAUGCUGAUUUUUUAAAUACUGAUGGAAUAACUGAGGAAAUGGAACAUGCUCUUUCCAGAUCUAGCCUUGAUAGUAGUCAUUCUCAAGAUACAGAAGCAGCUCAUAGUGACUCAACAAAAGGUAGUUCUGUGCCUGAUUUACCAGGAUUUGGAUCAUAUGAAUUGAAAACUAAGCUUCUUAGACAAAACAGUAUCGUAAAAGAUCAAGCGUUGCCGAAUAUGGUGCAAUCAGAGAAAUUAAAUCGUUCUUUUAGUAAUCCAAGAAUAGUACGCAGUACCGAAUCGCCAUUGAAGAGUCCUGUACGAACACCUGUUACUGAAAAUGAUCCAUUGGGGGCUCUAAUUAAUGAUGAAACGCCAGUUGUAUCGCCUUCUGAGGAAAAUGACUCCAAUUGCUCAACCAGUACUUUAACAGUUUUGAAUAAUACUGUUGAAGAAAGACCAGGUGGACCACUUUUAUUUAGAAGUAAUAAUUUACCACGGAGUGCAACAUUUCAUCAAGCAGUAGAUGAAAGUAGUACAACAGUAAGUGGUAAUUUACAAAGGAGCGAAACGAUGCCUCAUUCAGUAGCACCACCAGGUGAGGAGAGAGAAAAAGAGAGACUGGAAAUAAGCAGUCUUUGGUCGCAAAAGGACAGUGUGACAUCUAGUUUAUCUAGCCUAGGAUCCAGUUUAAAACUUAGUUUUGGACGAUACUCAGCCAGUGGAUUAGCAUUUACUAAAAAUAAGGAAUUAAUAUCAUCAAAUCAACUCAUCGAAUCUCUUAGUCUAUCCAGUUAUAUCAGUCCAUCAGGCUUGACUGGAAAAAGAUCCAAUGAAAUAAUAUUGGGUGGCUUGAACAGUUUGAAAUCAGCUGCAACGAGCGUUGCUAAAAAGUUCGACGAAAUAAAAGAAGCUAUAUCUGCAACCAGUACUCCUGUUAAACUUAAAGAACGCGAUCAAAAAUUAGGAUGUGGAAUAUCACAUGAAUCAUUAGAUUCUUGUACUGAUGGAUCCUUACAAGAUCGAAAUGAAGUAUCCGCGAGAUUAUCUGGUGAUGGAACUUUAGAUGUAUAUCUGUAUGAACUUGGGGAAUGUCUAUAUCCUAAAGGUUCUAGAGACUUAGAAGAACGUGCUGCUAUUGAAUUUGUUCUUUCAAGUGCUAGCAGAUGCCAUCAUUGUGCUGCAAUACUUUAUGACGAAGAAAUUAUGGCAGGAUGGCAACCAGAAGAUUCUAACUUAAAUACAGUUUGUCAGUAUUGUGACAAGGCUACCGUCCCCCUUCUUACAGUUACUAUAUUAGAUUACAGAUGUAAAACGAAUGAAAAAAGCAGUGAUCCUUUGAUGGGAGCUUUAGUUGAACUUUCGGAUAAACCAAGGGAGCAAUUGGAACCAAUUACGAUACCAUAUCUAAAUCCAUUGGUUUUAAGAAAAGAAUUAGAGAGUGUAUUAAGUCAGGAAGGUGAUGUAUGUUUAACCAGACAUAUAUUCAUAGAAGAACAUCCAAUAGUGUAUUGGAAUCUAAUAUGGUAUUUUGAAAGAAUUAAUUUAACAAGCCAUCUCUCUGAUCUUUGGUUGCAUAAUGAUGCAAACAAACAAUUACAAAGCAACUCUAAUUGUGUGAGUAUAAGAACAAUGUGGGAUAACGAGAGAAUUCAUAUGGGUCGAUUACCGAUGUAUCUACAGUGGAAACUGAAUACUACAGAAGAUCGAACGAGAGGCUGUAUCUGCUUGGUUUAUGCAUUCAACACCUGCAGACGUCCAUGUAUCCAAACUGGGAUUCUAUACUAACUCUUUGGCAUCAAUUUAUUUGAAGGAAUAUAAAAUUAUGCUAGAAUAUUUUUCUUAUGUUCGCAAAAUUGAAAUUUUCUGUCUAAUAAGUCGUAACUCGUAGUUUAAGAUUAAUGCAAACGAUAAUAUCAUACGUACGUUGCAAUGACUUGACAGAACCUAUUA